CAGACUCACCUCACACAGAGCCCCGUGUCGGCAUCUUCAGGCUGAGUCGACCUCGAGGAUGCCCAGACAGGGUUCAGAUUUUUCCCGCCAUUCGCCCCGACCGGAAGCGGAAGUAGAAGCUGGGGGUGGAGGUGGGGGUCGCCGAAAGAGGCGGGGCGGGAGGCGGCUUCCGGGGGCGUGGUCUCGCACUGGCACGUCACUCGUAGGGGCGUGGCUGACAGCAACGGUGACGUCGCAACACCACGUGCUUCCUCACAGUUCGAGACGGGAGUGAAGGAAACGGCCGCUUCUCAAAUUUCAGCUGCUUCAGCUUCAUCAUCUUCGUCCAACUUCUGCUGAAGCCAUCCGUGCCAAACCUUUGACGAGCUUUCCACACAGAGACCUUGGGGACUGCUGCGUGAGCAAAGCCACUCUGAGCAUCAGCACCAUGGAGACGAGCCAAGCUGGAGCGAGAAGGAGGGAGGGAGUCUCUGACAACACGUGGAGCGCGCUGUCAGCAGCCGGCACCGGCCCUAUCCACAGUAAAUCGCCUCGAGGUGAGAACAGCAGUGAGCAAACAUGUCCAUCGGUGAAUGGGGGGAAGUCACUACCGCCAUUUUGCAUGGAGGACUUCACGGUGGCCAUGUUGCUUAGGGGACUUUAUGGCAGCCAUGUUGCACGGGUGACUUCAUUGUGGCAAUUUUGCAUGGGGGAUGUCACGGCAGCCAUGUUGCAUGGGGUAAAUUACUAUGGCCAUGUUGCAUGGGGGACGUCACUCUGGACAUGUUACGUGGGGGAUUUCACGGUGGCCAUGAUGCAUGGCAGUCUAUAGGAUGGCCACGUUGCAUGAGGGAUAUCACAGCGGCCAUGUUGCAUGGGGGUUGUCAUGGUGGCCAUGUGAGAUGGGGGAUGUCACGGCAGCAAUGUUGCGUGAGGGAUGUAACUUCGGCUAUGUUGCAAGGGGGACUUUAUUGCGGCCAUGUUGCAUGAGGGCUGUCCUGAUGGCCAUGUUGCAUGGGGGAUGUCACGUCAGCCAUAUUGGAUGGGGGUUGUCAUGGUGGGCAUGUUACAUGGGUAUAUAGUAUUUGGCUGCCGCGAUAUAUUUCCACGUGAUGAAGAUGAUGAUGAUGAUAUCAGCCACUUCGGUGGGGCCUUACCUGCCAAUAUAAGAAAAUAUAUAUAUACAUAUAGUUUAGUUUUACAAUGGGUCCCUCUGGGUGUCUAUUGUUCGAUAUGAGCAUGGAUCUCUGUGGGUCUCUAUGGAUCUAUAUAAGUAUGGGUCUCUAUGGGUCUCUGUGGGUCUCUAUGGUUCGA
Petromyzon marinus (sea lamprey) is the source of this 1293-nucleotide non-coding RNA. The record is from RefSeq and is a predicted model, not a curated record. Lineage: Eukaryota; Metazoa; Chordata; Hyperoartia; Petromyzontiformes; Petromyzontidae.